RNAcentral lists this ribosomal RNA (253 nucleotides) under Prevotella disiens. RNAcentral describes it as "partial 16S ribosomal RNA". It matches the Rfam family "Bacterial small subunit ribosomal RNA", at positions 524 to 776 of the family's 1533-position model. Lineage: Bacteria; Pseudomonadati; Bacteroidota; Bacteroidia; Bacteroidales; Prevotellaceae. The record is from RNAcentral.
UACGGAAGGUCCAGGCGUUAUCCGGAUUUAUUGGGUUUAAAGGGAGUGUAGGCGGUUGGUUAAGCGUGUUGUGAAAUGUAGAUGCUCAACAUCUGACUUGCAGCGCGAACUGGCUGACUUGAGUACACACAACGUAGGCGGAAUUCAUGGUGUAGCGGUGAAAUGCUUAGAUAUCAUGAAGAACUCCGAUUGCGAAGGCAGCUUACGGGAGUGCUACUGACGCUUAAGCUCGAAGGUGCGGGUAUCGAACAGG